CGGACCGUAGCGCAGUUUGGUAGCGCACUUGACUGGGGGUCAAGGGGUCGCGGGUUCAAAUCCCGCCGGUCCGACUA
RNAcentral lists this transfer RNA (77 nucleotides) under Bifidobacterium vansinderenii. Its description in RNAcentral is "tRNA-Pro". It matches the Rfam family "tRNA". Rfam says of the family: Transfer RNA (tRNA) molecules are approximately 80 nucleotides in length. Their secondary structure includes four short double-helical elements and three loops (D, anti-codon, and T loops). The record is from RNAcentral. Lineage: Bacteria; Bacillati; Actinomycetota; Actinomycetes; Bifidobacteriales; Bifidobacteriaceae.